Molecule: ribosomal RNA, 450 nt
Filed under: uncultured bacterium
Lineage: Bacteria
Description: bacterial SSU rRNA
Rfam family: Bacterial small subunit ribosomal RNA
Source: RNAcentral
GUGGGGAAUAUUGGACAAUGGGCGAAAGCCUGAUCCAGCCAUGCCGCGUGUGUGAAGAAGGUCUUCGGAUUGUAAAGCACUUUAAGUUGGGAGGAAGGGCAGUAAGCUAAUACCUUGCUGUUUUGACGUUACCGACAGAAUAAGCACCGGCUAACUUCGUGCCAGCAGCCGCGGUAAUACGAAGGGUGCAAGCGUUAAUCGGAAUUACUGGGCGUAAAGCGCGCGUAGGUGGUUCAGCAAGUUGGAGGUGAAAUCCCCGGGCUCAACCUGGGAACUGCCUCCAAAACUACAUGACUAGAGUACGGUAGAGGGUAGUGGAAUUUCCUGUGUAGCGGUGAAAUGCGUAGAUAUAGGAAGGAACACCAGUGGCGAAGGCGACAACCUGGACUGAUACUGACACUGAGGUGCGAAAGCGUGGGGAGCAAACAGGAUUAGAAACCCUUGUAGUCC